Molecule: ribosomal RNA, 433 nt
Filed under: uncultured bacterium
Lineage: Bacteria
Description: partial 16S ribosomal RNA
Rfam family: Bacterial small subunit ribosomal RNA
Source: RNAcentral
AAUGAACGCUGGCGGCAGGCCUAACACAUGCAAGUCGAACGGCAGCAUCGGGACUGCUUGCGCACACGGGUGGCGAGCGGCGGACGGGUGAGUAAUGCUUGGCAAACCUCCCCUUCACGGGGGCUAACCCCGGCGAAUGUCUGCGGACAACAGAUUUAUCGCCCUUGGAUGGGCCCGCGUUCGAUUAACUAGUUGGGAGGGUAAAAGCCUACCAAGGCGACGUUCCAUAGCCGGUCUGAGAGCAUCAUCAGCCACACUGGGACUGAGACACGGCGCAGACUCCUACGGGAGGCAGCAGUGGGGAAUAUUGGACAAUGGGCGAGAGCCUGAUCCAGCAAUGCUGCGUGAGUGAUGAAGGCCUUAGGGUUGUAAAGCUCGUUUACCCGGGAUGAUAAUGACGGUACCGGGAGAAUAAGCUCCGGCUAACUCCGUG